UGGGGAAUAUUGCGCAAUGGGCGAAAGCCUGACGCAGCAACACCGCGUGAGGGAUGACGGCCUUCGGGUUGUAAACCUCUUUCAGCUCCGACGAAGCGAAAGUGACGGUAGGAGCAGAAGAAGCACCGGCUAACUACGUGCCAGCAGCCGCGGUAAUACGUAGGGUGCAAGCGUUGUCCGGAAUUAUUGGGCGUAAAGAGCUCGUAGGCGGUCCGUUGCGUCUGCCGUGAAAACCCGGAGCUCAACUCCGGGCCUGCGGUGGAUACGGGCGGACUAGAGUCCGGUAGGGGAGACUGGAAUUCCUGGUGUAGCGGUGGAAUGCGCAGAUAUCAGGAGGAACACCGGUGGCGAAGGCGGGUCUCUGGGCCGGAACUGACGCUGAGGAGCGAAAGCGUGGGGAGCGAACAGGAUUAGAUACCCCUGGUAGUCCAUGCCGUAAACGUUGGGCACUAGGUGUGGGUCUCAACCAACGAGAUCCGCGCCGUCGCUAACGCAUUAAGUGCCCCGCCUGGGGAGUACGGUCGCAAGACUAAAACUCCAAAGGAAUU
RNAcentral lists this ribosomal RNA (548 nucleotides) under uncultured bacterium. RNAcentral's name for it is "bacterial SSU rRNA". It matches the Rfam family "Bacterial small subunit ribosomal RNA", at positions 355 to 911 of the family's 1533-position model. The record is from RNAcentral.